GACAGAGGCCUCAAGCGUUAGGCGGAAUCACUGGGCUUAAAGCGUGUGUAGGCGGAUCGUUAAGUGCCUUGUGAAAUCCCACGGCUUAACUGUGGAACGGCUGGGCAUACUGGCGGUCUUGAGCCAUCUAGGGGCGACUGGAACAAACGGUGGAGCGGUGAAAUGCGUAGAUAUGUGGAGGAACACCGAUGGCGAAGGCAGCCCCCUGGGCUAACACUGACGCUCAUGUACGAAAGCGUGGGGAGCAAACAGG
Molecule: ribosomal RNA, 253 nt
Filed under: uncultured bacterium
Lineage: Bacteria
Description: partial 16S ribosomal RNA
Rfam family: Bacterial small subunit ribosomal RNA
Source: RNAcentral